This 1024-nucleotide ribosomal RNA is filed under the name Micarea micrococca. RNAcentral describes it as "SSU rRNA". It matches the Rfam family "Bacterial small subunit ribosomal RNA", at positions 149 to 1124 of the family's 1533-position model. The record is from RNAcentral. Lineage: Eukaryota; Fungi; Ascomycota; Lecanoromycetes; Lecanorales; Micareaceae.
CUUGGAGUGAGGAGUAAGAUCCCUUAUAGUUUUAACAAAAAUGUUAAAUAAAAGAAAUUUAUAUUUUGCUCUUAGAAGUUUUGUAUCUCGUGUAUAGUAGUAGUAGAGGUAAAAGCUCAACUAGCCAUAUAUACGUAGUCGUAACUGAGAGGUUGAUCGACCACAAUGGGCCUGAACAAAGCCCAUGAUGAUUAUUACAGCAGUGAGGAAUAUUGGUCAAUAGCCUAACGGCUGAACCAGCAACUUGGAAGAAUGUAUAGCAAUUGCUAAUUGUUUCUCCUUUAAAUGGAACAAUAUCGAUUUGAUCGAAUAAAAUUCUGGGUAAAAUUAUGAUAAUGACAUUGUUUACUCAUGAGUCUUGACCAAGUUACGUGCCAGCAGUCGCGGUAAUACGUAGAAGACAAGUGUUAUUCAUCUUUAAUGGGUUUAAAGGGUACCUAGACGGUGUAUUAAGCCUCAAAAGGAACUGAUAUACUAGAGUUACUUAUGAGGAAGUUCUAAAGUACUAGAGGAGUAGAGAUAAAAUUCAAUAAUACCUUUUUUUUAUAAAAAACUUCGGCACAGGUAUAGGUGAAAACAUCUUCUUAUGGGAUAACUGACGUUGAGGGACGAAGGCUUUUAAUCGUGAACAGGAUUAGAGACCCUGGUAAUGGAAGCAGAAAACGCUGAGUGUCAUAGAUUAGAUAAAUAUUUACUCUAUAAAUGAAAGUGUAAGCACUCCACCUCAAGAGUAAUUUGGCAACAUUGGAACUGAAAUCAUUAGACCGUAUUUGAAACCAGUAGUGAUGUAUGUUAUUUAAUUUGAUAAUCCGCAAAAAACCUUACCACAACUUGAAUGCCUAUAUAUUUAUUUUUAUAAUAUUUUUGUGUGUAGUUUUUUGUAUAACUUAAACUACACAUUAUACAAUAAUAUCAUAAGGUAAAAUCAUAGGUACAAGUGUUGCACGGCUGUCUACAGUUAAUGUCGUCAGACUAUGGUUAGUUCCAUUAAAUUAACGUAAACCCUUGCUCUAUUUUUAAAUAG